CAGGGAAGUUUCCGGAGGCAGACAGAGGAAACAGUCUGUUUGCGAUGAACAGUCUGUUCAGAAAGUUUAGUGAAUGGGCUGUGUUUGUUCCUACUGCAGAAGUGUUGAUUUCACCAGAGCUGAAUGGAGGAACUUGCACUUAUGGAUGGUUAAUAACAUGACUGAGUGCAAUGCUCCGCUAGACACAAAAAAUGCUUCUUUGGGGGUGGAGGGGUAGCUCCUCAGGACGCCAAACGUUGGACUGCUGAGUCUCUAGGGGAGGCACUAUUCCAGGAUCCCUGUUCUGACCAACGCGUAGCACCCCAUUCUGCUCAGUGCCCGGACACGCUAGCUGCAGUUUGAGUGCAGCAGUGCUCUCAACUGGAUUUUCCACACCGUAAUGACAAGAGGAGAGAUCUGUGAGGCUAGGACAGCUUCCAUAGGCACUGUGUGGCUGCGUGAAAUCUCACCCUGGCUUUGGCUUUGUGUGAUGUAUGAGGGUCUGGUGGAAUUCUCUGCUGACUCCAGGCUGUGCUAAGGUAUAAAAUGCUGCACAAGAGCUGGGUCUCAUCGCACACCGCUGUCUGACCCAGCUCGGAGCAGAUCCUGGGGAGAACGGCAGGCAGCACAUUGCUCCGUGGAGCUGGCAGAGCUGCUGCUUCAGCUGAGCGCCGUGCCACAGCUCGUGUCUGCGGCUCUCCCACUCAGAGGGAGUCCUGCCGGGAUGUGCAGCAGCUUGACUCAGAGCUUCCCUCUCGCUCCUUGGGAACGGCCUGAGCGCGGCCUCCCUCCGGCGAGCUGACUCACCAGGCGCAGCACACAGUGGUCCGGCCAGCCCCGAUCGAUGAGCAAUACAACACCGGCGCUGGCCAGGGACGUGGAGCCUCAGCAGGGCUGUGAAAUGGUCACUGCCCGAAUUUGGGACUCCAUAUCCAGCUCCUCUUUGUGGGUUGCAGGCACCGAAGAGAAGUGCGAGAGGGCAGUGGUAGUCAGAGCAUACGAAACUGGCUUAACUUCCGUUCUCCCACACCCUGAAAUCCCACCUGCCUCCCCCAAUAUUACAGUGACAGAGAGCCAGACCAAACACACCUUUCUUGGAGCUGAUCUCUAUUUCAAACAAGGCUGCUCCUGUAGGGAUAAAACGUGAGCACUGACAUGGGGUAGUAAACAAGUCCCUAGAAAUUUCUGCCACCCAGCUUACUUCCUUCCCCUCUUAAAUACCUUGCGACAAAUAUUACUACAGUAGCUCCAGCCCCAUACAGUCAUGGGAAUAGUUCAUGCAAAAAAAAAAAAAAAAGAAA
Molecule: long non-coding RNA, 1280 nt
Organism: Dromaius novaehollandiae (emu)
Lineage: Eukaryota; Metazoa; Chordata; Aves; Casuariiformes; Dromaiidae
Exons: 2
Source: RefSeq, a predicted model, not a curated record